RNAcentral lists this ribosomal RNA (253 nucleotides) under uncultured bacterium. Its description in RNAcentral is "partial 16S ribosomal RNA". It matches the Rfam family "Bacterial small subunit ribosomal RNA", at positions 524 to 776 of the family's 1533-position model. The record is from RNAcentral.
CACGUAGGGCGCAAGCGUUGUCCGGAAUUAUUGGGCGUAAAGAGCUCGUAGGCGGUCUGUUGCGUCUGCUGUGAAAACUCGGGGCUUAACCCCGAGCCUGCAGUGGAUACGGGCAGACUAGAGGUAGGUAGGGGAGAAUGGAAUUCCCGGUGUAGCGGUGAAAUGCGCAGAUAUCAGGAGGAACACCGGUGGCGAAGGCGGGUCUCUGGGCCGUAACUGACGCUGAGGAGCGAAAGCGUGGGGAGCGAACAGG